RNAcentral lists this ribosomal RNA (491 nucleotides) under uncultured bacterium. RNAcentral's name for it is "partial 16S ribosomal RNA". It matches the Rfam family "Bacterial small subunit ribosomal RNA", at positions 29 to 507 of the family's 1533-position model. The record is from RNAcentral.
AGUGAACGCUGGCGGUAGGCCUAACACAUGCAAGUCGAACGGCAGCACAGUAAGAGCUUGCUCUUACGGGUGGCGAGUGGCGGACGGGUGAGGAAUACAUCGGAAUCUACUUUUUCGUGGGGGAUAACGUAGGGAAACUUACGCUAAUACCGCAUACUACCUACGGGUGAAAGCAUGGGAUCUUCGGACCUUGCGCGAUUGAAUGAGCCGAUGUCGAUUAGCUAGUUUGCGGGGUAAAGGCCCACCAAGGCGACGAUCCGUAGCUGGUCUGAGAGGAUGAUCAGCCACACUGGAACUGAGACACGGUCCAGACUCCUACGGGAGGCAGCAGUGGGGAAUAUUGGACAAUGGGCGCAAGCCUGAUCCAGCCAUACCGCGUGGGUGAAGAAGGCAUUCGGGUUGUAAAGCCCUUUUGUUGGGAAAGAAAAGCAGCAGGUUAAUACCCCGCUGUUCUGACGGUACCCAAAGAAUAAGCACCGGCUAACUUCGUG